AAAGAACUCACUGAUUUUAAAGUCAAAUAAAGUUUGAACGAAUUAUAAAUUUUACAAUUGUUUUAUACAAAACUUAAAAAAAAAUGUAUUUAAAUCGUAACUAGGUUUAGUUAGUUUUUACUCAUCCUACUUAUCAUCCUAUAUAUGAUUUCCAAUAAUAAGAAACAACAAAUUGUGAGUUCAAAUUAUUUUAAAUUUGUUAAACACAAAUCGAUAAAUAAAUAAAACAAAUUUUCAAAUUUCUACCAAUUUAAUAGUUUAAAAUCAAUUGUAUUAUAUAUUCACGAAAUAUGGUCAUAUAUAAGUGUAAACUUUUUAAGUUAAUUAAAAACUAUACGAAUAUCCCGGACGUAGCCGAAAAAAUCUAUAGUUAAAUUAAUACUUAAUUAAUUUAAUUUCUCAUAGUAUAUUUUUAUCAAAAUUAAUCUAUAUUCUUCAUGAACUUAACAAAAUGAAUCUAUUAUUAUUAUGAAGCAUAUAAAACUUAUUAUUUGAUUAAAAUAUACUAUGCUAAUAUCUCUCUAAGUAUGUGUCUUAAUUCUGAGGUCAAUGUGUCCAAUGAAAGAUAAUUUCAACAGCUACUCAUCUAACACUACUAAAAGCCGAAUAAGAAGAGCAACGAGCGUGCCACGUAGGAUUUUUUGUUCAGGCCAAUCAUGAAGCUCUGUUUCGCCACGUCGACAAAAAAUAUAACAGGUCCAGUAAAUCUGGGCUGAACAAAAAAAAAUAGGCCUAUAUAGAACAGCCCAUAUCUUAUUCUACGCAGAAUGUUCGUCGCCUUCAACUCCGACUCUUCCAAUUCACUAUUCUAAUCUCUGCAAUCUCUCUGUAAUUAUUACACCACAAUCUUGCUCAUUCAAUUCUGAUAUUUUCUCCUAUCUUCAUUAGAGAUUAUCGUUCCACCUUCCUUUGUUUUUCCUAUUAUAUAAACCCCUUGAUGAUAUGAUAAGACAGGUCCGUUAACUAUUGUCAUUCCAGCCUGAGUUAUCUAAAAUAUGAACCCUCGACUCCAGAUUCAUAACACAAUGACAAUUUGUUGUUCUCUACAUUUGAAAGUCAGUCGUAGAACUCGGCCUCACGCUGGUGCUGAUCGUCUUCUCCGUCGUCGUUUUAGAAGCUUGGAGAAGGAGACACAGUAACGUUUCUGUCGACACCGUGACAACUACACUCGAGGGUCCGACAUCCUUAAAACAGGUACUGUCUGAAUUCAAUAUAUUUUUUUCUGGGAUUUUUCUGUUAGUGUGUUUACAGUUAAUGGAACUGAGAAAAGGUCUUACCUUUGAAUCCUAUUAGCCUAUAGAACGUUUAAAGACGAGAGCUUUGACAUUAUUAUUAUUAUUAUUAUUAUUAUUAUUUUGUAGGAGAGUCUGUCUAACGAUGUGUGUUGUUUAAGAAAUAAAAGAGUAAAGCAGACAGAUCGUGGAUGCGCAGCUGUAUGAUAAUAAUUUCAAGAGAGGAGCAAGCAAAAAGCUUCACUUGAGAAGGAAAUUCAUCAUACUGUCAGUAGAAAGAUAAGAAGAAAAGUUGAUGACGAGAUCAACAACAGAUUGAGUUUGGGAACACUUUUCUUCCAGCCUAACUUCCUGGUUACGGUUGAGCAGAUUCUUGAAGAUGCUCCCAAAGUCUUAGAUCUGCGAUUGGCUACUUUAUGAAAUCCAUUGAAGGGACAUGCUGGAUUAUCUAAUGAUGAUAAAGAAGAAAACGGAAGGACUCUAGAGGUACAUGAAAUUAUCAAUACCUUUUUGAUGUAUCUUAAUACGGGUCAUGAAUCGUCUGGACACACGCAUUAUUUGGGCUACCCCGUCAGAUACUACAGAAGAUAAAUGUAAAAUAAUAAUAUAUGUUUAUAUAAUCCUUUUGCAUUUAUUUUUACAAGCUUGAAUAGUAAUUUUCCUUAUACACAGGAUAACAAGAUGCGAUUGUUAAAAACUAAGCAGUGUACCAGAAAUUGAGUAAAAAACAGAGACGUACAAAUGUACAAUGACUUACUACUACCUUUCUCAGGUGCCUCAUUGCAAACAAGUUUAAGGCGUCUUAAAUUGGUAUGAUUCAUUACACAGUCUCUUACUGAAUAAAAAGAGGUUUUUUUAUGAGGUCAUUGAUGAGACACUUAUUAGAGUAAUAAUAUUCUCUAUGCCUUUUCCCUUCCAUGAAGCAAAAAGUGAUGGCCAAAUAAACGGCCAGUCUAUUCUAAUCGCGUACAUGGAACACAAUAAAUCAUCUUUAAACCCUUUUGUUUGUUCAUUUUUCAUGUUUAUGUAUUUAGCCAAUAUCAUACCAAAAGGCUGGAAGGUACUUCUCACUUUGUUCAGGUACGUUCACCUAGAACAUGAGAUUUACCUGAAACCAAAGAAAUAUGAAACUUCAAGAUGAUAGGUAUGUAGAUAUAACAGAUUUGUGGCGCAUUCAACAAUUAAACUGUCUUUGUAAUUUGUAGUUGGUGUUGUAAAAGAGUAACUAAACAACAUGGUCAAGUUCAUUCUACAUGGAUACAUGCCACAACAAGGUUCAUUCCUUCCUUUUCAUUUAGGAAGCGAUCUUUGUCCGGGAAAGAUCUUGCCAAGCUCUAGAUUUCCAUUUUCCUUCAUCUUGACAACUGAAGAUGGGUUUAGCUACUGUAGCUUUCAAGCUGUGGGUUAUGACUUCAACACUAUCCAGCUGGUGAGAAGGGUUCUGUCUUGCUUUGAUCCCAAUAAAUUCUUUGUAGGGUGUCGCAGUGAACGCGUACCAGCCGGAAAUUAGUGUAUACUUGGAAGAUUAUGGGUGCAGAGAGAAUGGACCAGUGAAUAGUGAUGUAUCAUACGUUUGAAAACCUUGGCAUGUAGUGUGCGUCGCCUAGACCUACCUUGAAGUGGGACUGGAGCAGGCUGAGCAGCAAUAACAAAAGGACACGAGGGAAUCUAGCAGAACUUUAUCUGAACUCUUUUCGAGCUUUCUGUUUUUGCAUUUUUUUUUAAGUAAUGACUAAUUAUUUGUGAAGUUAAGGUAUUCCUUUCAAAAUCAUGUGUGUUGUACAAAUUUGCUUUAAUAUACAGCUUUGUACAUUACUUAUCUGUGUCUUUUCUUUGAUUGUCGAGGAUUGAAUGAAAAAAAAAAACAAAAUACUUGAAUCAUACCGCAGCGAUAUUAAUCCUCAAGUUCAGAAUCUGCCAUAUCAUACAAACUUGAGUUUCCUAUUAAUUGUUAAACUGGAAUAUCAAAUAUCUUACCUCAAUUCAUAUCUAACUAAAUAAAUUUUUAAACUGAAUAGUGUACUUAGGAUAUUGAAAUUUGAAAACUAAUCAUAUUCAUCAAUAAUAUUACUUAUAAAAUAUUAAAGAAAUAUACAUUAACCAUUUGUAAGUAUGCAUUCCUCUAUUAAUAAAUUAGAAAUAAGUGUUUAUGGACUUAGUUGUUUUUUUUAACGCUGAUUUAUUACGAUCUUACAAUUAUGAUAUAGGAAAGAUUACAUAGACGAUUCGACUACCUACCUUAUGAAGACCUACCAUUUGUAGUUAGGCACUUGGUUGUUAUGUUUGGCUUAACAACAAUGUGAACUUAGGAUUGCUAACCAAAAAAAUAAGAGAGAAGCGUUGAUUGGUUUUACCCUUUUUCUAUUGGUUUUACAAAAAAAACAUAUUAGGUCUAUGUAAAAUUCAAAUAUAUCUUCUCGAAAACAAGUUAAACUCGCUAAACUCUCACUAAAAAGAAAAUAUUAUGAGAACGAAAAAAUACAAGUCAGAAUUUCCAAUUUAUUAUUCACAGCCUAUAUGUAUUUCACUAUUUCAAACAAUUUUUUUUUUAAAAUAUAUGAAUUAACAAAAAAUAUUUACAUUAGUUGACCACAUACAUUAUAUUUUAAAAACUAAUCAAAAUAAUGCAGUGAAAUUAGUAACAGCCAUAACUCCGUUAACAAGAUUUUAAUUCGACGAAUAUCAUCCCAUAUUUGGAGUCAUGAGAGGUAAUGAUCGGAAAAAAUAAUAACAGACUAUAUUACUCUUCUUUACUGUCUUAAUUAUCAAAUUAUUUUUUUCCAGUAAAACUAUUAUAUGAUAUCAACAUAUAUGCUGUGCAGAGUAAAGAUUCAUCCUUUUAAUUUACUGGAAGAAACCAACACAAAUAAUUUAGUUAAAAUUUAUUAAAAGAUAACUAAUAAUUAUUUAUAUAAAAUAAAUAUAAGCUCAAGCAAAUCAACUUAUAUACUAAUACAAUGAAAAUUAGCAAAAUUUAAAUAAACGAACCAUGCGCACACCACUACUUUACCAUACAUAUGGUGUAACUUUUGUUUGGCUUACAGAUGUACAUACAUUAUUAAAUAUAUAAAUGUGAAAACUAACAAAUUAAAAAUGUAAUACAUUAUGAUUAAUACAUCUUAUUUAUAGGGAAGCUAAUGUUUGCUUCAUCAUCGGUCAUCGGUGACACAAUUUUACUUUGGCAACACAAUACAAAUCAUUAGAGACUUCAGAAGCAUGAUAAGAGUCAAGUUUAAUGCAUGAGUUUGGACAAAACAACACCAAACUCAGAGGAUGAUCUUCAAGAAAACUUAACUAAAAUCAACAUUUCAAAUCUUCCAGACUGUCUAAUAAUUUAGAUAGCAUAAUCAGUCUAAGUAUAAAAUAUAUAUAUUCAAAUAUGAAUUCUAAAAUAAUAUAAAUUUAAUUUAAAUAUAUGGGAAAAAAUCCGGACGUAGCCCGGGAAAAUCUCUAGUGGAUAUAAAAGUUACACAAUUCCGAUCUAUAUUGAAAAAUACUAGGUAAAGAACCCGUGCGAUAUUAAUUAUCAACUGAAACCCGACAUUGGUUUAAAAUGAAAAAAUUAAACCGGACAAAAAGAUACAAAAAUUAACUGAAAUCGAAAAGAAUAUCCUAAACCUAAACACUGCUUUGACCGUCCAAAAUAAAGAAUUAAUAUUGCAGUUUUCAUGCUAAAUUGUCGAAAUGCAGUUUUAAGUGAAUUUAUAUAUAUAUAUAUAUAUAUAUAUAUAAUAUUAUAUUAUUUAGCAUGAAAAGAAUAUUCUUUGGAUGAUAAGAGACACAUCAUUACAUAUUUUUACAAUCUCUUAACACAUUAUAUUUUGGAUGAAAAGAUGCAAUUAUGAAAAUACAUAUUCUUAAAUAUGUAUAUAUAUAAAUAUAUAUUGCAAACGAAUUUUUUUUAAGAAAGUGAUAUAACUCUUCAAAACAUUUUUUCUGUAAGGUUGAAUUUUUUAAAAACAGUACAGUAUAAAAAUUAUGAUAAUUUGGUGGUGAAAAAAAUUAUGAUAAUUUGGUGGUGAAAAAAAUUAUAAACAACACACAAUCUAUAUAGAGUUAAAAGACAUAAGAGCAAAAAUAUGCCACUUUAUAACAAAAGGAGAAACAAGACGAUACAAUAAACAAGUAUGAGAGGAACAUUAUAACGAAAAGACCCACCCGUAAAAAUUAAUUAGGUUUGCUAUUCGUAGGAAAAUAAAAAUUGAAUUUAACACUGGAAUUUAUUCUUAAUCUUUAAUCUAGUGGCUCAGAUUUUAUUUAGAAUCAUGAAUAUGACAUCAUACACUACAAGAAAACAUUUUUUUUUACUAGGGCAGUAUUCGUUGUAAAUUCGUCGUAAACGGUGUGUUACGACGAAUUAACGUCGAAAGACGUUUCGUUGUUAAACGUCCGUCGUAACGGAGGUUUCGUCGUAAACGACUCCUUACGUUUACGACGAAAUAUAUUCCUCGUAAAGCGCAGGGAAAGGAUUCGUCGUAAACGACACGUAAGCUUUCGUCGUAAAGCCCACGUAAUUAAAACGAUGUAAAGCAUACGUAAAUACAUUCGUUGUAAAUCACUCGUAAACAUUUCGAUGUAAAACCCUCGUAAAUGUUUCGAUGUUAAUCACUCGUAAACAUUCGAUGUAAACUCUAUGUAAUGUUUACGAGGAGUUUACAUCGUUUCUUAUUAUAUUAUUAUUAAUUACUAUAUAAUAAAUUUUAAUUUAUAUUUAAUAUUCAGAAUUUAAAAUAAUUUAAAUUUUAAAAUGAAAAAAGAAAUUGGAAAA
Molecule: long non-coding RNA, 6000 nt
Organism: Brassica napus (rape)
Lineage: Eukaryota; Viridiplantae; Streptophyta; Magnoliopsida; Brassicales; Brassicaceae
Exons: 4
Source: RefSeq, a predicted model, not a curated record